RNAcentral lists this ribosomal RNA (252 nucleotides) under uncultured bacterium. RNAcentral's name for it is "partial 16S ribosomal RNA". It matches the Rfam family "Bacterial small subunit ribosomal RNA", at positions 524 to 776 of the family's 1533-position model. The record is from RNAcentral.
UACGGGGGGGCAAGCGUUGUUCGGAAUUACUGGGCGUAAAGAGCUCGUAGGCGGUUUGUCGCGUCUGCUGUGAAAACUGGAGGCUCAACCUCCAGCCUGCAGUGGGUACGGGCAGACUAGAGUGCGGUAGGGGAGAUUGGAAUUCCUGGUGUAGCGGUGGAAUGCGCAGAUAUCAGGAGGAACACCGAUGGCGAAGGCAGAUCUCUGGGCCGUAACUGACGCUGAGGAGCGAAAGCAUGGGGAGCGAACAGG